AGUUACCACGUUGUCAGAAUGUACCAAUGUGGUGAUGACAGAGCUGGUAAGAACAACUUGGCUGCUGGACUUGAGUCAGAUUUGACUUGAAAUUAUGGUCUGCUAGCCAAGUGUGCAAUGUUGCACAUUCAGCACAUGGGGUUGUCAAAGUCAGAUGGUCACAUAAAUGGUGGAUGAUUUUGCCUUCUCAAGAAUUCAGACACUGGCUGCAUGAGUGCACCUUGCAGUAUGACUGUUUAUGCUAACCACUCACUGUACUGUACAGUAUUUUUUUUUAAACAAGAAUAAGGGGUCUGUUGUGCAGAGGGGAAAACCAACUCCAACUCCAGAGCUGAGAAAUCCAGCUAACUUAGCAAACUCAAAGGGUGUGAUAUGGCAUGGGGAAAAUUGUUGGUAUAAUGUUGAUCGGCAAGGCAGCGGAGGAUACAGAAACAGCUAUCUUACACAGAAGCAUAGACUUGUUGGUCAGCUAGAUAGCAGGAGAUGUGGAAUACAGGGAGAGACAACUACAAGUGAUGAACUGACUCGUAUGGAGAAUGAGUGGAAAGUGCCACAUAAUGAGCAGAGAGAAAAACAAUAAAAGUGCAAGUUUGUAGGAAACAUAUCAAACAGCACAGUGAUGGACAGCAAUGCCAACAAGGGAUGGCUGAAUCCAAGCUAACAGAUGUCACAAUUCCAUAUCAAUCUACAAAAAAAAAAAAAGUGCUAGUAAUACAUAUAAAUAAUAAUAAUAAAAAAUACACUGACUAAGGCAGAAGAGAUGAGAGGAAGCUUUGGAAGACAAGAUACUUGUAGCUCCGUUCUUGUUAAAUAAAGUUCAUGUAUCUUAUAGUGUUCAACUGUCCUUGUGAUCCUGGUGAUGGAAACAAUGGCACGGCAAUGGCAAAUGAUGCAGCCAAAUGCUGUUGCCAAGAAUUCCAACCUGACAGACAUUGUGACAGUCAAAAAAUCUGCAGCUUCUCACACACACAAAAAAGUAUUCACAUAUACUCUAGUGACCAUAAUGAGAACAGUAUGUGAGUAUCACUGUCAGUGCCAUGCUUCUCAGCACAAAAUAAC
Molecule: long non-coding RNA, 1059 nt
Organism: Ictalurus punctatus (channel catfish)
Lineage: Eukaryota; Metazoa; Chordata; Actinopteri; Siluriformes; Ictaluridae
Source: Ensembl